Molecule: ribosomal RNA, 440 nt
Filed under: uncultured bacterium
Lineage: Bacteria
Description: partial 16S ribosomal RNA
Rfam family: Bacterial small subunit ribosomal RNA
Source: RNAcentral
CCUACGGGAGGCAGCAGUGGGGGAUAUUGCACAAUGGGCGAAACCCUGAUCCAGCGACGCCGCGUGAGUGAAGAAGUAUUUCGGUAUGUAAAGCUCUAUUAGCAGGGAAGAAAAUGACAGUACCUGACCAAGAAGCCCCGGCCAACGACGUGCCAGCAGCCGCGGUAAUACGUAGGGCGCAAGCGUUAUCCGGAUUUACUGGGGGUAAAGGGAGCGUAGACGGUUAUGUAAGUCUGGAGUGAAGGCUCGGGGCCCAACCCCGGGACUGCGUUGGAAACUGUGUGACUGGAGUGCAGGAGGGGCAGGCGGAAUUCCUGGUGUAGCGGUGAAAUGCGUAGAUAUCAGGAGGAACACCGGCGGCGAAGGCGGCCUGCUGGACUGAAACUGACGUUGAGGCUCGAAAGCGUGGGGAGCAAACAGGAUUAGAUACCCGGGUAGUC